Podarcis lilfordi (Lilford's wall lizard) is the source of this 83-nucleotide non-coding RNA. Lineage: Eukaryota; Metazoa; Chordata; Lepidosauria; Squamata; Lacertidae. The record is from the annotation of a GenBank genome assembly.
GGUGACCAUAUAGCACAGUGGUAGAGCAUCUGCUUAGCAUUCAGAAGGUCACAGGUUCAAUCCCCAGCAUCUCCCUGGCAUCA